This 433-nucleotide ribosomal RNA is filed under the name uncultured bacterium. RNAcentral's name for it is "partial 16S ribosomal RNA". It matches the Rfam family "Bacterial small subunit ribosomal RNA", at positions 29 to 507 of the family's 1533-position model. The record is from RNAcentral.
AACGAACGCUGGCGGCAUGCCUAACACAUGCAAGUCGAACGAGACCUUCGGGUCUAGUGGCGCACGGGUGCGUAACGCGGGGGAAGCUGCCCUUAGGUUCGGAAUACCUCCCCGAAAGGGGUGCUAAUAACGGAUAAUGUCUUCGCACCAAAGAUUUAUCGCCGUUGGAUGGGCCCGCGUUGGAUUAGCUAGUUGGUAGGGUAAAAGCCUACCAAGGCGACGAUCCAUAGCUGGUCGGAGAGGAUGAUCAGCCACACUGGGACUGAGACACGGCCCAGACUCCUACGGGAGGGAGCAGUGGGGAAUAUUGGACAAUGGGCGAAAGCCUGAUCCAGCAAUGCCGCGUGAGUGAUGAAGGCCGUAGGGUUGUAAAGCUCUUUUACCCGGGAUGAUAAUGACAGUACCGGGAGAAUAAGCUCCGGCUAACUCCGUG